AUGUUGUGUCAAUAUGAUAGAAUAUUUUCAGAUUUUUUUAAAUAUUAUACAGCAUCCGGUGUACCGGUAGCACGACAAGUAUUGCACCGGAUACGUUCCCCCACGCCCCAUCCCCUCCCUGCAUCUCCGCCGCCGCCGCCGCCCCCCAAUAUCCACCGCACGAGGGCUCGCCCACCCGCGCCGGCGACGCGCCUCCACCAUCCGCUCAUCCCAUCCUGGCUCCUCCGGCGUUGGACAUCGGCCGCGUCUACUCCACCGCUCCCUGCCCGCCCCCAAGAAGCCCCGCAGCUCUGCGUCCGCCGCCGCGGGCGGCAAGCCUCCCGUGAUCGUCUACUACCGCUGUCGCGCCCGCUCAAGCACGAGCUGCUCAGCCUGGGGUCUGCCCCGCCUGCAUUGGGCGCGGAUACAGACGGGGAGGAGUUGCUGGGGCGACGGCAGCCGAGGCGCAGAGGGGGAGUGCAGAAGGAGAGCACUUCGGCGCCCCGGAGGCGACGGCGCCGCAGCAGCCAGCUGGAGGCGGCCUCUCCAUCUGAGAGGAGAUGGGUAGAGUAA
RNAcentral lists this ribosomal RNA (552 nucleotides) under Triticum aestivum (bread wheat). Its description in RNAcentral is "partial small subunit ribosomal RNA". The record is from RNAcentral. Lineage: Eukaryota; Viridiplantae; Streptophyta; Magnoliopsida; Poales; Poaceae.